RNAcentral lists this long non-coding RNA (838 nucleotides) under Naja naja (Indian cobra). RNAcentral describes it as "lncRNA (ENSNNAG00000009501.1)". Lineage: Eukaryota; Metazoa; Chordata; Lepidosauria; Squamata; Elapidae. The record is from RNAcentral.
UUUGGGGAAAAAAAACCGAAGGAAGAACUUUUGUCGGGUUUUAGUUUAGUUGCGAAAUGACUUCUGGGACAGGUCGUUCAAAUGCUUCGAUGGAGGCGUAAGCUCCCACAGGCUUUUUCGGAGCGAGAAAACUUCUCAUCCCAUCAAGCAACGGGAAAGCGACGACAGGAACGGCGCGCCGAAUCCGGAACCGAGCGACAGGAGCUGCGCGCGCAGGUGGGAGAAACGGGCCCGCGCAGUUGAGAUAGCAAGGAUCAAGACUACUAUGGAAGAUUUUGAUGGGGACUUCAGUCACAGAAAAGCCAUUAUGUCUGAAUUAUGUUGCAAUCAGAUUGCUGCAAACAUCCUGGUACAGGAUCUCAGAACCUUGGUGGCUUUUACUGACCCAGAGGAUGGAAUACUGGUUCAUACUCCAGAUGGUGAGUGGCUAGUAGGUUCUUCCAUGCCUGUUUACCAUCACCAUAAAGUACUUCGUUGGACAACUCUUGUCAAUUACAGUUCUCGUAUGAUGGGGAAUCUGUUACUAAAUAAGAACACUAGUACUGUUGGGCUACUAAACAUGCUUAAGUACCUAAAAAGGCCUUCAGACUUCAGAAAUAGUGUGAAGUUGUGCCAACAAACCUCAUGUAUAUCUACACACAAAAGUAUUACAGAAUUGUAAUUAAUUCAGAGCACCAAAUAUCAUUUUGGAUGCCAUUGUAGAGAAUUGUCAAAACAAAAUGAAGUUGCUUUUUGUUCCAGAUUUUUACACAGUCUUUCCAAAUGGUAAUAGUUGCACAUCAGCGCAAAGAUAUUAUGUUAGAAAUACACAAAAGGGAACACAUAAUUUAAAGAAGCC